GCCUAACACAUGCAAGUCGAGCGAAUGAAGUUCCUUCGGGAGUGGAUUUAGCGGCGGACGGGUGAGUAACACGUGGGCAACCUGCCUCAUAGAGGGGAAUAGCCUUCCGAAAGGGAGAUUAAUACCGCAUAAGAUUGUAGUAUCGCAUGAUAACAGCAAUUAAAGGAGCAAUCCGCUAUGAGAUGGGCCCGCGGCGCAUUAGCUAGUUGGUGAGGUAACGGCUCACCAAGGCGACGAUGCGUAGCCGACCUGAGAGGGUGAUCGGCCACAUUGGGACUGAGACACGGCCCAGACUCCUACGGGAGGCAGCAGUGGGGAAUAUUGCACAAUGGGGGAAACCCUGAUGCAGCAACGCCGCGUGAGUGAUGACGGCCUUCGGGUUGUAAAGCUCUGUCUUCAGGGGACGGGGGUGACGGUACCUGAGGAGGAAGCCACGGCUAACUACGUGCCAGCAGCCGCGGUAAUACGUAGGUGGCGAGCGUUGUCCGGAUUUACUGGGCGUAAAGGGAGCGUAGCGGAUUUUUAAGUGAGAUGUGAAAUACUUGGGCUUAACCUGAGUGCUGCAUUUCAAACUGGAAGUCUAGAGUGCAGGAGAGGAGAAGGGAAUUCCUAGUGUAGCGGUGAAAUGCGUA
RNAcentral lists this ribosomal RNA (632 nucleotides) under uncultured bacterium. RNAcentral's name for it is "bacterial SSU rRNA". It matches the Rfam family "Bacterial small subunit ribosomal RNA", at positions 46 to 692 of the family's 1533-position model. The record is from RNAcentral.